UACAGAGGUCUCAACCGUUGUUCGGAUUCAUUGGGCGUAAAGGGUGCGUAGGCGGUCGCGCAAGUCGGAUGUGAAAUCUUAGGGCUCAACCCUGAAACUGCAUUCGAUACUGCGUGGCUCGAGUACUGGAGAGGAGACUGGAAUUUACGGUGUAGCAGUGAAAUGCGUAGAGAUCAUGAGGAAGACCAGUGGCGAAGGCGGGUCUCUGGACAGUUCCUGACACUGAGGCACGAAGGCCAGGGGAGCAAACGGG
This 253-nucleotide ribosomal RNA is filed under the name uncultured bacterium. RNAcentral's name for it is "partial 16S ribosomal RNA". It matches the Rfam family "Bacterial small subunit ribosomal RNA", at positions 524 to 776 of the family's 1533-position model. The record is from RNAcentral.